GCCGGCUUAGCUCAGGUGGUAGAGCGGCUGAUUUGUAAUCAGUAGGUCGGGGGUUCGAGUCCUCCAGCCGGCACCA
This 76-nucleotide transfer RNA is filed under the name Methyloceanibacter sp. Its description in RNAcentral is "tRNA-Thr". It matches the Rfam family "tRNA". Rfam says of the family: Transfer RNA (tRNA) molecules are approximately 80 nucleotides in length. Their secondary structure includes four short double-helical elements and three loops (D, anti-codon, and T loops). Lineage: Bacteria; Pseudomonadati; Pseudomonadota; Alphaproteobacteria; Hyphomicrobiales; Hyphomicrobiaceae. RNAcentral also lists the same sequence under 2 other names. The record is from RNAcentral.